CACCCGCCUCGGCCUCCCAAAGUGCUGGGAUAACAGGCGUGAGCCACUGCGUCCAGCCUACUGUGUCUCAAAAAAAAAAAAAAAAAAAAAAAAAAAAAAGAAUGUGGCUUCCACUCUCCAGUCCCUCCAUCCCUCCACCUACCCAGCAUUUCAGCCACACAGUCUACCUCUUGUUCCCUGCUCACAUCCGGUACUUCCAGAGCCUGUACCUUGGCUCAGGUGUUCCCCAGCCUUGCGUGCUCUCCCUCCUGUGCACUAGGGAAAUUCUGUCUUUCCCAUUAGAGUUUCAGCUCCUUGAGGGCAACUAUCUCAUACUCUUACCCUUGACAUAACAGCCUCCAAAAUCCUAUUUACUGUUUUACUCCAGAAGAAUGCAUUUAGAGAAAGCUUGAUAAAUGCUGGAUCAAUUGAACUGAAUUCUAGUAAGGGGUACCCGCUCACUUUCCAGCCAGCCAGCCCAUUCUAUUUUAUAACAUAUCUCAUUGUUACCAAAUGUGUCUCCUACUCACCCAUACCUACCUCGUCCUAACCACCACUCUUGGUUGAUUACUUAUUGGGGUCUACUCAAUCUCUAGGAGGCCCCCAUUGACACAUUUAGCGCCUCACAUUGACAUUUAUUUAUUCCUCUGUCACUACCCUUCCUGUGACCAAGCUAUCCUGUUCACCUUCAAAUCCCCACACCACGUUUCAGGUACCAGCUGUACAUUUUACUAGGGACUGUCCUCACCGUGACAGCACCACCAAAGGAUGAAGCAUCUGUAGGCAAUCAUCCAUCCUGCGUGUGUGUCAGGCUGGAUCUAUUCUGCUCCCCCAGGCUUCAGCGGUCAGGGGAAUCCAUUUCCUCUCCCCCAGCCUCACAGCCCUCCAGCCUCUAGGCACUGUGAGAGAACCCCUAGGUACAGGGUUAGUGGAAGUUGAGCUCCUGCCCUCUUACAAAAGAAGUCUCCUUUGCUCAAAUCAUGAUGUAUUUCCUCUGUGUUUUGUUUUGUUUUUUGUUUUUUGAGAUGGAGUUUCGCUCUUGUUACCCAGGCUGAAGUGCAAGGAUGCAAUCUCAGCUCACUGCAAUCCCCACCUCCUGGGUUCAAGCAAUUCUCCUGCCUCACCCUCCCGAGUAGGUGGGAUUACAGGCAUGCGCCACCACACCAGGCUAAUUUUGUAUUUUCAGUAGAGAUGGGUUUUCUCCACAUUUGUCAGGAUGGUCUCAAACUCCCGACCUCAGGUGAUCCGCCCGCCUCAGCCUCCCAAAGUGCUGGGAUUACAGGCAUGAGCCACUUCACCCGGCCUCCUCUGGGUUUAAUUUACAAACUAUCUGCCCAGCCCAAACUUGUCCAGGGCUUUCCUCCAAAGCAGGCUUUGUUCCUAUUGGUUCCUACCCAGGUAUAAAUGUGCCCUCAGUUUUGCAAAUUUGCAGUUUUUGAAAUUCUUCCUAUUCUUCCAAGUUCAGCAGCAGACUUGAAACCUUCUCCAGGAACCACUGAAGACUCCUGCAGCCCCUGUCCCAUCUUGUCCUCUUCUGUGCCUUCUGGACCCCUCUCAGGAUGUGCUCCUUCGCUGGAGGGACUAAGAUGAACCAACUGAGACUCAAGAGAGGUGGUAACUCUGCAAGUUCACUCCCUUGAGAAGUAGCAGAGCCAGGAUUCAGACCUAGUCUGCAGUCAAGGAUCUUCCCCACAGUAUCAUAAUCCCACCAAACAGCCCAUGGAUGAAAAGGAAAAUGAGUGCCUUCCCAGCACUCCCCGAACAAACAGGGCAGACCUCAGAUCCCUACACCUCAGGCGCCAGCUACGCGAGAAUCUCCAAGCCCCAUCUCGGGAUGUGUAGGAGUCUAGCCGUCCAGAGCCCCUCAGCCUGAGCCCCUCUCCUUGAAUGCAGCCAGCCCAGAGGAAAACAGAGGUAGCCGGGAUUGAAGCCCACCCUACUGUGAAGGCCUAAAGAAACAGCCUCAGGAGCUGAUCUGCGAUAAGAUGUCUUCUGCCCGGAAACAAAAGGCCCGGCAGGAUGAUCUGCAUCCCCUCAUUAUCUGGGAUUUGAGAAUUCUGAUUGAGUUUCUGAAGAGCUAGCUGCAGAGACCCAGGGUGGGGACUAGGUUGACUCUCUGGACGUUUUGGCCUGUCCUUCCCUUACUCAAGAGUACACUCCCCCAGCCUGGACCCCUUGGUGGUGUGGGAGGAAAGGCCACAGACUUGGCCAGGUAGGGUGGCUCAUAUCUGUAAACCCAACACUUUGGGAGGCCAAGGCGGGCAGAUCACCUGAGGUUGGGAGUUUGAGACCAGCCUGACCAAAAUGGAGAAACCCCAUCUCUACUAAAAAUACAAAAUUAGCUGGGCAUGGUGGCACAUGCCUGUAAUCCUAGCUACUAGGGAGGCUGGGGCAGGAGGAUCACUUGCACCCAGGAGGCAGAAGUUGUGGUGAGCCGAGAUCGCGCCAUUGCACUCCAGCCUGGGCAACAAGAGCGAAACUCUGUCUCAAAAAAAAAGAAAAGACAACAGACUUGACAAAGACCUGAUUGGGUCUCUGGGGAGACUGCAGCUGUGGGCCCCCAAUCCCACCCUGCAUUCCAGAACUGCCCAGGAAAGUUGGCUCUCAGGAGGUUACUGAGUAAUCGCUGAGCAGAAAUGUAAUGAUAGGAUUGGACUUUUGUCUGUUUUGAGGGGAGCCUGUUAUUUGGCUGCUUCUGUUCCUGGGGGACAGGUGUGAGGUGUGGUUAUUAGAUGACGGAGUGGAGGCUGAGUAUCAACAGUACAGAGUGCUGAGCUGGACAGAGGAUGAGGCCCUGCCCCUGCCUCAGGGAGCUCAGCGUCAAAAGCUGCCAGGCUGAUGAGAUGAAACUGGCAGGUUUGGUGGGACUGCUCACUGCUGAACCUAGACCUUCUAAAGACUCCUCCUCCCACCCCUAUGAACAAGCCCAAGAGGGGACAGUGUUAUUGCUCUCAUGCUGCAGAUAAAGAAGCUGACUCAGAAGCUCUCCCCGUAUAUGCCAAGCCUUUUCUUUUCUUUUUUCUUUUUUUUUGAGACAGAGUUUCCUCUUGUUGCCCAGGCUAGAGUGCAAUGGUGCGAUCUCAGCUCACCGCAACCUCUGCCUCCUGGGUUCAAGCUAGUCUCCCACCUCAGCCUCUCAAGUAGCUGGGAUUACAGGCACCCACC
RNAcentral lists this long non-coding RNA (3144 nucleotides) under Homo sapiens (human). RNAcentral describes it as "HSALNT0106212". Lineage: Eukaryota; Metazoa; Chordata; Mammalia; Primates; Hominidae. The record is from RNAcentral.